AACGAACGCUGGCGGCAGGCUUAACACAUGCAAGUCGAACGAACGUAGCAAUACGUUAGUGGCGCACGGGUGAGUAACGCGUGGAUAUCUGCCUUUUGGUUCGGGAUAACCUUGGGAAACUAGGGCUAAUACCGAAUGGUUCCUACGGGAUAAAGAUUUAUCGCCAAAAGAUGAGUCCGCGUCCGAUUAGCUAGUUGGUGUGGUAACGGCGCACCAAGGCGACGAUCGGUAGCUGGUCUGAGAGGACGAUCAGCCACACUGGGACUGAGACACGGCCCAGACUCCUACGGGAGGCAGCAGUGGGGAAUAUUGGACAAUGGGGGCAACCCUGAUCCAGCCAUGCCGCGUGAGUGAUGAAGGCCUUCGGGUUGUAAAGCUCUUUUGGCGGGGACGAUGAUGACGGUACCCGCAGAAUAAGCCCCGGCUAACUUCGUGCCAGCAGCCGCAGUAACAC
Molecule: ribosomal RNA, 454 nt
Filed under: uncultured bacterium
Lineage: Bacteria
Description: bacterial SSU rRNA
Rfam family: Bacterial small subunit ribosomal RNA
Source: RNAcentral